RNAcentral lists this ribosomal RNA (449 nucleotides) under uncultured bacterium. Its description in RNAcentral is "bacterial SSU rRNA". It matches the Rfam family "Bacterial small subunit ribosomal RNA", at positions 355 to 825 of the family's 1533-position model. The record is from RNAcentral.
UGGGGAAUCUUGCACAAUGGGGGGCAACCCUGAUGCAGCGACGCCGCGUGAGCGAUGAAGCCCUUCGGGGUGUAAAGCUCUUUUCGGCAGGGAAGAUAAUGACGGUACCUGCAGAAUCAGCUGCGGCUAACUACGUGCCAGCAGCCGCGGUAAUACGUAGGCAGCGAGCGUUGUUCGGAGUUACUGGGCGUAAAGGGUGUGUAGGCGGUGCUCUAAGUGUGGUGUGAAAUCUCCCGGCUCAACUGGGAGGGUGCGCUACGAACUGGAGUGCUCGAGUGCGGGAUGGGAGAGUGGAAUUCCUGGUGUAGCGGUGAAAUGCGUUGAUAUCAGGAGGAACACCGGUGGUGUAGACGGCUCUCUGGACCGCAACUGACGCUGAGACACGAAAGCGUGGGUAGCAAACAGGAUUAGAUACCCCUGUAGUCCCUGAGCGGGCUGGCAAGGCGCAU